RNAcentral lists this non-coding RNA (30 nucleotides) under Mus musculus (house mouse). The record is from RNAcentral. Lineage: Eukaryota; Metazoa; Chordata; Mammalia; Rodentia; Muridae.
UAAAAUGGUGCAUGAAAAAAAAUCUGAAAA